RNAcentral lists this non-coding RNA (66 nucleotides) under unclassified sequences. Its description in RNAcentral is "Li+-I sequence". It matches the Rfam family "nhaA-I RNA". Rfam says of the family: Acidobacteria, Alphaproteobacteria, Betaproteobacteria and Gammaproteobacteria, Verrucomicrobia, cand. division NC10. Downstream gene The record is from Rfam by way of RNAcentral.
GGGUUCGAAGGCACACUGUGUGCUUUCGGAGGAUAGACGGGUAGCAAAUGGUCGGGCCGCCAUUCG